AUAUCUUCUGAACUCUGACAUAUAUGUAGCAAAAUUUCUCUUUAUUGUCUGGAAUACACAGAAAAUUAUAUUUGCAUAUUAAUUAAUCGUUUAGCAUUAAACCUGGCCGUAUCAGUCCCAAACGUUCAAGCUAUUUUACGUUAAAACUGCCCACAUCUGGCCUCUUCCACUCACCCUGCAAUGUCAUUCUAAACAUAAACAAUCACAUCAUUGAAAUCUUAAAGCAAUAAGAUAAUGAAUGAUUAAUUCAGAAGAAUUUGAAUAAAUAAUCAUUAGAUUUGACAGUGUAAUCUGCGUGUUAAUGAGUUAAAGUAAUUAAGAAGGCAGUUUGCAGCAUCUUCAGAUAUUAACAAAGAUCACUUUUGAUGGAGAUAUAUCAGUAGAAAUAUUUGAUGUGAGCAAUAUAUGAGAAGAAGGAAAACCUUUGUGUACUGUGACGAGAGAAAGGAAAAUCAUGGAAAAGGAAUUUUGUGAAAGAACUGAUUUUUCUGAUGAUGUAAACAAUGAAAAGGGCAAAAUAUCAUAUGAUUGUGAUAUUUGUGGUAAAUUCUUCUCUAGGAAAGCUAGCUUACUCAUUCACAAACGCAUUCAUACAGGAGAGAAGCCAUAUCAUUGUGAUAUCUGUGGUAAGUCCUUCUCCCAGACUGGUUCUAUAAUUAUUCACAAGCAUAAUGUUCACACAGGAGAAAAACCAUAUUGCUGCGAAAUCUGUGGUAAAUCAUUCUCACAAGGUAAUGACCUGACUAAGCACAGAUGCGUUCAUACAGGUGAGAAGCCAUGUCACUGUGAUACCUGUGGUAGAUCGUUCUUUCGAAAUCAUGUCUUGGCUAGGCACAGACGCAUUCAUACAGGAGAGAAGCCAUAUCAUUGUGAUAUCUGUGGUAAGUCCUUCGCUCAGACUAGUUCCGUGACUAUCCACAAGCGUAACGUUCACACAGGAGAAAGACCAUAUCGCUGUGAAAUCUGUGGUACAUCAUUCUCUCGAAAUAAUGGCUUGACUAGGCACAGACUUAUUCAUACAGGAGAGAAGCCAUAUCACUGUGAUAUUUGUGGUAAAACAUUCACUCAAAAUAAUGGUUUGACUAGGCACAGACGCAUUCAUACAGGAGAGAAGCCAUAUCACUGUGAUAUCUGUGGAAAAUCAUUCUCUGAAACUAGUCCCUUAAGUAUUCACAAGUGUGUUGUUCACACAGGAGAAGAACUAUAUAACUGUGAAUUCUGUGGUAAAUCAUUCUCUCAAAAUAAUGACUUGGUUAAUCACAAACGCAUUCAUACAGGAGUGAAACCAUAUCACUGUUAUAUUUGUGGUAAAUCAUUCUGUGAAGAUAUAAACUUAACUAAUCACAUACGUAUUCACACAGGAGAGAAGCCAUAUCAGUGCUAUAUCUGUGGUAAAUCAUUCUCUCACGGACCCAAUUUAGCUGUUCACAAACAUGUUCAUUCAAGUGUGAAGCCAUAUCACUGUGAAAUCUGUGGUAAAUCCUUCUCUCGAAACGAUUACUUAACUUGCCAUAAGCGUGUUCAUACAGGAGAAAAGCCAUAUCAUUGUGAUAUUUGUGGUAAAUCAUUUUCUCAUAAUUAUACCUUGACUAUUCAUAAAUGCAUUCACACAGGAGAAAAACCAUAUCACUGUGAUAUCUGUGGAAAAUCAUUCUCUCAAACUAGUCCCUUAACUAUGCAUAAACGUACUGUUCACACAGGAGAAAAACCAUAUCACUGUGAAAUCUGUGGUAAAUCUUUCUCUCGAAACGAUACCUUAACCCAGCAUAAGCGUGUUCAUACAGGAGAAAAACCAUAUCAUUGUGAUACCUCUGGUAAAUCAUUUUCUCAAAAUAGUCAGCUGCUUAAUCACUGAUAUAUUCAUACUGGCGGAAAAAACCAUAUCUCAUGCGAAAUCUGUGGUAAAUCAUUCUUUCAAAAUAAAGGCGUGACUAAUCACAGACGCAUUCAUACAGGAGAGAAGCUGUAGCAAUGUCAUAUCUGUGGUAAAUUAUUUUAUGAAAAUAGAAUCUUAACUAAUCAGAUACAUAUUCACACAGAUGAGAAGUCAUAUCAUUGCGGUGUCUGUGGUAAGUCAUUCUCUGAUGGACCGAGGUUAACUGUUCGCAAAUACAUUCAUUCAAGUGUGAAAACCAUAUCACUGUGAAAUCUGUGGUAAAUCCUUCUCUCAAAAUGGUCGCGUAACUAUUCACAUACGCAUUCAUACAAGACAGAAGCCAUAUCACUGUGAUAUCUGUGGUAAAUCAUUCUCUACAUGGAGUGCCUUAUUUAAACACAAAUACAUUCAUACAGAAGAAAAGCCAUAUCAUUGUGAAAUCUGUGGUAAAUCUUUCUCUCGAAACGAUCACUUAACCAAGCACAAGCAUGUUCAUACAGACAGAGAACACAUUUCAUGAGGAAUAGAUUCAUUUCCCAAGUUACAGACAUUGUUUAUGAGUUUUAUUUUUCAAGCACAACAUCCAAAUUUUGAAAGUUUCUACUACCAUAACAAAUGCACCUGUGUCUUACCAAGAAGUUUAUAAAGAGCAAAGGAAUGCUUCUCAGUAAACAACUCUAGACUUGUUUCUUUGCUUGUGAAUCAGUGGUCACGUCUACUAAUGAUGUGAUUCAGAAAACAAUUA
This 2621-nucleotide unclassified non-coding RNA is filed under the name Octopus sinensis (East Asian common octopus). RNAcentral describes it as "zinc finger protein 271-like, transcript variant X5". Lineage: Eukaryota; Metazoa; Mollusca; Cephalopoda; Octopoda; Octopodidae. The record is from RNAcentral.